Molecule: ribosomal RNA, 47 nt
Filed under: Lophodermium juniperinum
Lineage: Eukaryota; Fungi; Ascomycota; Leotiomycetes; Rhytismatales; Rhytismataceae
Description: partial 28S ribosomal RNA
Source: RNAcentral
GACCUCGGAUCAAGUAGGGAUACCCGCUGAACUUAAGCAUAUCAAUA